RNAcentral lists this long non-coding RNA (2019 nucleotides) under Carica papaya (papaya). RNAcentral describes it as "long non-coding RNA (CPAP_LNC016621)". Lineage: Eukaryota; Viridiplantae; Streptophyta; Magnoliopsida; Brassicales; Caricaceae. The record is from RNAcentral.
UACAUAUAUCAUGUGCAAAUAGUGUUAACAUUCAUUGCAUGCGUGCUAGCUACUGGGCAUAUGUUAUGUACGAAAAUGAAGUUAUACAUCAUAUUAAACGCAUAUAUCAUAUGUAAACUAUAUGCUGCACGCAUACUGGGAAGUAUAUUAUAUGUAAGGAAUGAGAUUCUUAGUAGCAAGUCAAAAUGGCAAUAGAAAGAGAUCUCUAAUGAUAAAGGGUUUAAUAUAACAAAAAUAUCUAAAAAAUUAAGAAAGUAUAAAUAUGGUGAUUAAAAUCUAUGGUGGUCUGGGAGACGAAGACCCUCCUUCAUUGUUGACUCAAAAUCUGAAUAGCUUUCUCUAAUUCUUAAGUUGUGGAGCCAGUAAUUUUAUUUGUAAAACCCACAACAUCAUAUGUUGUAGAUUUAAUAGCUCUAUCUACUCGGUUAAUUAGCAAAUCGAAAUCUUUAUUUGCAAAAGACAAAAUAAUGUUCUCAUUGCAUUGCAUCGUUGGUAGAUUCAAGUUCUCCAAUAAUUGUUUGUCUAUGAUCUCCACAGUCGUUUUCUCUAUUUCUAUUGCUGCCUCUUCAUCAGUUGCAGCUGCAACAAUCAAAUCAAUGUCGUUAAUUUUACCGUUAGAUUCUUACCUAAUAUGAUCACCAUAUAAAGAGUUCAUAUGAGGAGAUAAUGUAUAGAUAGAAUAAUAUUAACAAACGAUGUAUUACUUAUAUAAUACUUAAUUAGUUUUAAAAUUAUAUUAGAUUUAGACAUAAAAUGUUAUGAUAUUACAAGAGUAACUAGUAAGAAAGUAUAUGAUUACUAUAGGUUAUUAUAGUUAGUUAAUGUGAAUUUACAUCUUAAAUGUAAGAUGUCAUUUUAAAUAAAUACUUAAUUGAUGUUCAUAUAUGUGUAACAUCUUAAGCAAAAGCAAAAGCAAUACAAAAAGAAUAUAUGAUCGCCGAAAUACGAGUCUUAGUGGUUUUAGGUUUAGGUUGAAAUAUUAUAUCUUUACCCAUUAAUUUAGUUAAGAGAGACUUACAGAUGGUUCUAGAUUUAGAUUGAAAGAAGCAUUGGAGGUCCUCUGUGUUUUUUUCACAAAGACCACCGGUAUAUAUCUUUUGCUCCUCAUCAUUAUUUCUCUUGUUAUCUUUUUCAUUGAUUGAAAUACCUUUAUUUGAGUGUAAGCUCAUCCUCAUGAAUAGCUCUUCUAGGGAAUUCUCAAUAGACUCUAGAAUCUUCUCCUUCAUCUUCUGAUCAUACCUCUUCAAUACACGUCUUGGCUUACAGUUUGAGUUACACUUGUCUGUAUUUUCUUCUAUCUCAUGAAGAAUAACUUUUCUUUUUUUCUUUCCGCUUAAAAAAAAAUUUUACUUAUAGCAUAACCGUGUAACAACUUACGUAUUUAUCAAAUUGUACCCACCAAAUAAAAAUUUGUAAUCUAUAAAAAUAAAAAACGAAGUUAUUUCACCGAUAAAAUUUAUAAAUGUAUAGUGUGUAAAAACCAUUCUUAUUACAAUAGGAUCAAUUGAUUAUUCUGCCCCCUUUCUCUUUCCCUUGUUGUCUUCACUGUCAUCUAUAAGUACUAAAAAAUGAAGUCACUGUAAUUUUCUUUUACAUGCACCUAUUAAUAACUACAUAUUAUGUAAUGAGGCUAAGUGAGUUACUUGGGCUUAAUCAUUCUCAUUUGCUAUCUUCUUUAUCUCGGAAUCUAUGGAUCUUGUACCUGAAGAAUUCAUCAUCUAUACAAUCACACAAAACCAAGUUAAAUCCAAUAAUCUGCACAUGAAUAAAAAUAUCAAUUUCAGUCUUAUAUGUUAAUUAACUACUUCAUCAAUGACAAAAGGCAUAUCUCCUGCCACCCCCUUCUGGUUUUCUUCCUUGGUUGAUAUGUGUAAAUUAACAGGCGAACUAAGUACAUUUUGAUCAAAAUCUUGCACAUUGAGAAACUAUUAUAUGCAUUUCUAUCUAAGCAUCUUAUAUAUAUACACACAUAUAUAUAAUAAAUACACUCCACUCACUGAUGGAGUCUUUUCUCUCUCU